This 460-nucleotide ribosomal RNA is filed under the name uncultured bacterium. RNAcentral's name for it is "partial 16S ribosomal RNA". It matches the Rfam family "Bacterial small subunit ribosomal RNA", at positions 338 to 795 of the family's 1533-position model. The record is from RNAcentral.
CCUACGGGAGGCAGCAGUGAGGAAUAUUGGUCAAUGGACGAGAGUCUGAACCAGCCAAGUAGCGUGAAGGAUGACUGCCCUAUGGGUUGUAAACUUCUUUUAUAAAGGAAUAAAACGAGGCACGUGUGCCUUUUUGCAUGUACUUUAUGAAUAAGGAUCGGCUAACUCCGUGCCAGCAGCCGCGGUAAUACGGAGGAUCCGAGCGUUAUCCGGAUUUAUUGGGUUUAAAGGGAGCGUAGAUGGGUUGUUAAGUCAGUUGUGAAAGUUUGCGGCUCAACCGUAAAAUUGCAAGUGAUACUGGCAGUCGUGAGUACAGUUGAGGUAGGCGGAAUUCGUGGUGUAGCGGUGAAAUGCUUAGAUAUCACGAAGAACCCCGAUUGCGAAGGCAGCUUACUAAACUGUGACUGACAUUGAUGCUCGAAAGUGUGGGUAUCAAACAGGAUUAGAUACCCCAGUAGUC